This 253-nucleotide ribosomal RNA is filed under the name uncultured bacterium. RNAcentral describes it as "partial 16S ribosomal RNA". It matches the Rfam family "Bacterial small subunit ribosomal RNA", at positions 524 to 776 of the family's 1533-position model. The record is from RNAcentral.
UACGUAGGGUGCAAGCGUUAAUCGGAAUUAUUGGGCGUAAAGCGCGCGCAGGUGGUUUCUUAAGUCUGAUGUGAAAUCCCCGGGCUCAACCUGGGAAUGGCGAUGAAGACUGCAAGGCUAGAAUCUGGCAGAGGGGGGUAGAAUUCCACGUGUAGCAGUGAAAUGCGUAGAGAUGUGGAGGAACACCGAUGGCGAAGGCAGCCCCCUGGGUCAAGAUUGACGCUCAUGCACGAAAGCGUGGGGAGCAAACAGG